AUUGAACGCUGGCGGCAUGCUUUACACAUGCAAGUCGAACGGUAACAGCACUUCGGUGGCUGACGAGUGGCGAACGGGUGAGUAAUACAUCGGAACGUGCCUAGUAGUGGGGGAUAACUACUCGAAAGAGUAGCUAAUACCGCAUGAGAUCUAAGGAUGAAAGCAGGGGACCUUCGGGCCUUGCGCUACUAGAGCGGCUGAUGGCAGAUUAGGUAGUUGGUGGGAUAAAAGCUUACCAAGCCGACGAUCUGUAGCUGGUCUGAGAGGACGACCAGCCACACUGGGACUGAGACACGGCCCAGACUCCUACGGGAGGCAGCAGUGGGGAAUUUUGGACAAUGGGCGCAAGCCUGAUCCAGCAAUGCCGCGUGCAGGAUGAAGGCCUUCGGGUUGUAAACUGCUUUUGUACGGAACGAAAAGCCCUCUUCUAAUACAGGAGGGUCGUGACGGUACCGUAAGAAUAAGCACCGGCUAACUACGUG
Molecule: ribosomal RNA, 482 nt
Filed under: uncultured bacterium
Lineage: Bacteria
Description: partial 16S ribosomal RNA
Rfam family: Bacterial small subunit ribosomal RNA
Source: RNAcentral